GCACCAGUGGGGAAUAUUGGGCAAUGGACGAAAGUCUGACCCAGCGACGCCGCGUGCGGGAUGAAGGCCUUCGGGUUGUAAACCGCUUUCAGCAGGGAAUAAGCGCAAGUGAAGGUACCUGCAGAAGAAGCACCGGCUAACUAUGUGCCAGCAGCCGCGGUAAUACAUAGGGUGCAAGCGUUGUCCGGAAUUAUUGGGCGUAAAGAGCUCGUAGGUGGUUUGUUACGUCGGUUGUGAAAUUCAGGGGCUCAACCCCUGACUUGCAGCCGAUACGGGCAAGCUAGAGUUUGGUAGGGGAGACUGGAAUUCCUGGUGUAGCGGUGGAAUGCGCAGAUAUCAGGAGGAACACCGAUGGCGAAGGCAGGUCUCUGGGCCAAUACUGACACUGAGGAGCGAAAGCGUGGGGAGCGAACAGGAUUA
This 420-nucleotide ribosomal RNA is filed under the name actinobacterium SCGC AAA028-B06. RNAcentral describes it as "bacterial SSU rRNA". It matches the Rfam family "Bacterial small subunit ribosomal RNA", at positions 348 to 780 of the family's 1533-position model. Lineage: Bacteria; Bacillati; Actinomycetota; Actinomycetes. The record is from RNAcentral.